This 451-nucleotide ribosomal RNA is filed under the name uncultured bacterium. RNAcentral's name for it is "partial 16S ribosomal RNA". It matches the Rfam family "Bacterial small subunit ribosomal RNA", at positions 29 to 523 of the family's 1533-position model. The record is from RNAcentral.
AGCGAACGCUGGCGGCAGGCUUAACACAUGCAAGUAGAGCGGGCGUAGCAAUACGUCAGCGGCAGACGGGUGAGUAACGCGUGGGAACGUACCUUUUGGUUCGGAAUAACACAGGGAAACUUGUGCUAAUAACGGAUAAGCCCUUACGGGGAAAGAUUUAUCGCGGAAAGAUCGGCCCGCGUCUGAUUAGCUAGUUGGUAGGGUAAUGGCCUACCAAGGCGACGAUCAGUAGCUGGUCGGAGAGGAUGAUCAGCCACAUUGGGGCUGAGGCACAGCCCAAACUCCUACGGGAGGCAGCAGUGGGGAAUAUUGGACAAUGGGGGCAACCCUGAUCCAGCCAUGCCGCGUGAGUGAUGAAUGCCCUAGGGUUGUAAAGCUCUUUUGUGCGGGAAGAUAAUGACGGUACCGCAAGAAUAAGCCCCGGCUAACUUCGUGCCAGCCGCCGCGGUAA